GUCAUAGAAUUGCCGCCUAGAAAUAAACAGCCGGGCACAACCCGUCAAAGAACAUCACCGUCAAAUGGUGAGUAUAAAACUGAAGUACCAAAUUCAUUUCUAUAAGUUUUCCUUUGAGCACUAAUAUUGGUCAGUUUUUCUUGCAUCCCAUAAAAUUUGACAGUUCUUACUGCUCUUAUGAUUUGUUUUAUCAAUCAAUGGGACACGUUGAGAAGUGUUGACAGAAGAAUACUGAGGAUGCAGGGAGUGAAAGUUGUUACAAAAUGAGGAUACAAAUGGUGAUUUGAAAGAGAGGUGGAGAAUGAUAAGACUGAAUGACCAUCAGUUGUGAACCAACAGAGAUGAUUAAUGAUGUAUUAACAUCUUGUGAAUCUGAUAAUUAAAGUCAAAAUUACUUAUAAGGACCUCAGUUUCAGCUUUCUAAUGUAGGAGAUUCAAUAACAAAUCGCAAAUGAAAAUGUUUUCAACUGGUAAAAUUUGUUAGAGAGAAUUUCAUUUGGUUCCAAAGUUCUUCUUGAUUUAUCAUCUCAUGAAGAUGUCACAUUUUUAAGGUAGUGUGAUGUGCGAUAUGAGAUAUCAUCUCUCGCCAGAGUAAUUUCCCAGAAUAUCUCAGCUGAGAAUAUGUAUGAUAGUCUAUAUAUAUAAAUACAGAUAUAAUUAUGAAUGCAUAUAUCUGUACGCGUAAAUAUUUAACUGUCUGUCUCUAUGUAUGUGUGCAUCACUAAAACUCGAGAACUACCCAAAUUAUCUCAUUCAAAUUUCACACAUGUCUUACUUAAGGUCCAUGCAGUGUCAUGGUCGAAAUAAAUUUUCAAUUUCUUGCCUAAUGUGAUCCUGGAGCAAUCUCUUAUCUCUUACACUAUUUCAGUAUUACUUGUUAAAAGUGAAACAAUAAAAUCGCUAUUGUAAUGUGAGUUAAUACUUUCACUGUUAUAUAUCUAUGUAUGUAUAUGUAUAUAUAUGCAUUAUUAUGUAUACAAAUAUAUAUAUGUUUACAUAUGUAUGCAUACAUAUCAGAUCAAAUUGGAGCUGGGUGUAGCCUUCAGGCUUGCCAUCCCUCAGUCACACCUCAGCAUGGAAAGCGAAUAUUAAACAACGAUGAUGAUGAUGAUGAUAAUGAUGAUGAUGAUGAUGAUGAUGAUGGAACUUCUACAAUAUAGAUCUGUGUGGAGACAUUAUCAUAUUCACUGUAUUGAAAGUCACUUAUAUUUUAGUCAGAUUAUAUACAAUUUAUAUAGAUAUAUAGUAUUGCAAUGUCAGACAGUGUUUUUUUGUAUUACAUAUAAAACCUGUUAACAUGGUAAUGAAUCAGUUAUUAUUCAUUAACUGAUUUACAUUUGUAUGUCUGAAAUUUAACCUGAUUUUAUCGUAGCAUCAUCUUCUACUCUCACCCAACAGAUUUAUACCUUAUUACCGUCUGUGUAAGUAGUUCUAGUGUUUUUCUUGGGCACGCAACCACUUCUCUACAAACUGGUAUUAUUGACUUUUAUAGUCCAAUAAAAUCUAGAUGUUAUUGUGUCCUAAAACAAAAUGUGAAACAUUUCUGUAUAUUUAUGAUACUAUUUAGAUAUAUUAUAUAAAGCAUUACUGUGAUGUUUUGUAACUAUUUGGUCUUAAUUAACUUCAGUGACAAAUGUAGUAUAACGUUGGUAACAAGAUUGGGAUUAGAUAUUCCUUUAGAUGUUGUUCUUAUAUUAACAAUAACAUCACAAGACAGUUUCUGUCAGUCACACCCUGCUACACAGGUGUAAGUUCCAAGUCCUCAAGAUUAUCUACUUUCAUGCUCCAAUCGAUUAGAUGGGUCAUCAAUGUCCAAGUCAGUUCUUCAUCAGAGUAAACAUACACUUUGACUGCUUGAGGUACAAACGCAUCUCACUUAAAUUCUUUGUAAUUUAGAUGACAAGAUACCCUUCUUAACACCAAACAUUAUAUAUAGGGUCUUGGUUAUGUUUUAUUGUAGCACAGGCACUAAUAAUAUUGUCAUCAUCAUCACCAUUUAACAUCCAUUGUCCAUGCUGGCCUGGGUUAGACAGUUUCAUCAGAGCUGCCAAUCUGAGACACUGCACCAAACUCCAAUGUCACCAAUUAGAUUGAAGGUUCCACUCAAAAUUAUGCUGUCUCCUCUCAUCCACCAAUCACUUUCAUGUAUGUACUGUGGCCAUUUUCUCUUAGUGAUAGCACUAGUCAGGUUGUCUUGCUGUAUCAUUAUUCAAACUAAUUUUCAACUUCUUGCCUAAUGUGAUCCUGGAGCAAUCUCUUAUCUCUUACACUAUUUCAGUAUUACUUGUCAAAAGUGAAACAAGAAAAUUGCUAUUGUAAUGUGAGUUAAUACAUUCACUGUGAUACAUUUAUGUAUGUAUAUGUAUAUAUAUGCAUAUAUAUGUAUGCAUGUAUAUGUAUGUUUACAUAUAUAUGCAUACAUAUCAGAUCAGAUUGUAGCCUGUUGCAGCCUUCUGACUUGCCAGACAUCAGUCAGACCGUGCAAUCCAUGCUAGCAUGGAAAGCAGAUAUUAGACGACAGACACCAUCAUAAAUACCAACUCUAAUGUGUGUGCAUGAAUGUGUGUGUGCGUGUAUGUGUGCAUGUGCGUAUGUGGGGGGGGUGAGGAUAAAAUAUACAUGUACUCAUACUUUGAGUUCUAUCUUUCCUGUUUGCACCAACGUACCUAUAUAUAUAUAUAUAUGUGUGUGCGUGUGUGUGUGUGUAUGUUUGUGUGUGUGUGUGUGUGUGUGUUUGUUUGUGUGUGUGUGUGUGUGUGAAUGUGUGUAUCUAUGUAUGUAUGUAUGUAUACAUGCAGAUUUGUAUGUGUUGUUUUAUGUAUGUAAUCUCAAACAUAUUAGUCACAUAUCUAGACAUGCUCAUAUAAAUUUAAACAAUAAACUUCUGGAAAGUUUUACAGAUUUAAACAGUCACAGAAGAUCUAUAGAUUUUGAAUCAGUUUUCUCCUUUCUGGUUUUGAGAAGCCCAAUUUCUCAAGAUUGAUAUUUAUGCAGUGUGUUACAUAUCCCAGUACCCCAAUAGUUACAGGUAUAAACAUGUGUGUAUGUAUGUGUGUGUGUGUAUGUGAAUGUGUGUGUGUAUGUGUGUGUGUGAGUGUGUGUGUGUGUGUGUGUGUGUGUGUGUGUGUGUGUGUAUAUGUGUUUGUCUAUAAGCAGGUACAAACGUGUAUCUCUAUGAGCAUAUAUUUCUAUGAGGUGGAUGAAAACAACUUACCCAGUGGCCUGAAAUUGCUGGUUUUGUGCCAAAAUUCAAAGCCAAUAUUACUGAAAUCUCAUAAAGUAUCUACAAAGGUUAGUACAGUUGGUAAUAUGGAUAACUUAGAAUACAAUGGAGUUAAUCAUCAUCGUUUAAUGUCCGUUUUCCGCGCUAGCACGGGUUGGACGGUUUGACCGGGGUCUGGGGAGCCAGGGGCUGCUCCAGGCUCCAGUCUGAUCUGGCAGUGUUUCUACAGCUAUUGAACUAAAAAGGGAAAUAUCUUAUUAAGUUGGUGUAAACAGGUAAGUUAAUAGUAAUAUUUCUGCUUCGUUUUACAGGUGAGUUAAUGACAAUAUUUUUUUGUUUCUUUUAAAUCUUUACUCGGUUUACUGAUAGGUUAUUAUUGUUGUUGUUCUGUAGCCACAUAUCUUUCGUAAUCUGGCAGACUUGUGAUAAAAACUGUCCCAAGUGUGACCCUCCUGUCUUUUUUCACUUAUUGUGAAUCUGUAAAUACAUUAAACAUAUCUUAAUAUCAAAGUAUCAAACUUUGGUUUGCUCCUAAGGUAAGCAUUCUCUUUCUGUCUUCAAAAUUAGAUACAGGCUGCAAGAUGCAAAAUAAUAAUACAAAAUAAUAAAUGUUAGUGUCAUUAUCAUUCAUCAUGAAGUACCAAAUUGAUUUCUAUAAGUUUUCCCUUGAGCACUAGCAUUGGUCAGUUUUUCUUGUGUCCCAUAAAAUUAGACAGUUCUUACUGCUCUUAUGAUGUUGUUUUUUCAUUCAAGGGGACACAUUGGGAGUGAUGACAGAAGAAUAAUGAGGAUGCAGGGAGUGAAAGUUGUGAGAAAAUGAGGAUAAGAAUGGUGAUUUGAAAGAGAGGUGGAGAAUGACAACACUGAGUGACUGUAAGUUGUGAACCAACAGAGAUGAUUAAUGAUGUAUUAACAUCUUGGGAAACUGAAAAUUAAAGUCAAAAGUACUUAUAAGAACAUCAUUUUCAGCUUUCUAAUGUAGGAGAUUCAAUAACAAAUCUCAACUGCAAAUGUUUUUAAGUGGUAAAUAUUGUUAAAGAUAAUUUCAUUUGUUUACAAAAUCAUUCUCCAGAAAUUCUUGAUUUAUCAUCUUAUGAAGAUGUCAGAUUUUUACAGUAGUCUGAUGUUUGAUAUGAGAUAUCAUCUCCUGCCGAUGUAUCUUCCCAGAAUGUCUCAGGUGAGAAUAUGUAUGAUAGUCUAUAUAUAUAUACAUAUAUAUAUAUAUAUAUAUAUAUAUACUAGCAUUAUGACCCGUCCUUGCUGGAUCAUAGUGCUAGUGCAUGUAUAUAUGUGUAUAUAUAUGUGUACAUAUUACAUGUACAUCUAUAUAUAUACAUCUACACAUAAAAUACAAAAUACAAAGUUAUAUCUUGGUAUCGCUAGUGAUAACAAUACUCAAAAUAUAUAACAGACUUGAAUUGUAGGCCCAUCUCUUGCAAUUUUGAUCAAUUGUAUCUUGUCCUCCUUUUUGUAUAGAAGUGUGGCUACAAUCCAUUUUUAAUUUUUUAUCCUGGACGUAUAUUUCCACUUUGCAAGGUUCGAGUCAAGUACUCCCUUGCACGCUCCAUUGACUCGAACCUUGCUUCUAUUGUGGAGAAUUUACUGCUUCUGGUUAGAUAUCUUUCAUAGUCGCACGAAGACACUUUUCGAAGGUGCUUUCCUCCAGGUGUUCAAAUCUUUUUUUUUUCUCUACAUUGUAUACUUUAUAGACAAUAGUCUUUUCUUUAAUUUAAUUUUUUAUUUCAUUUGGUGGUGGUAUCCGAGAUUCACCCUCUUUAUCGGUGAUCAAUCUGAAAUAGGUUUGUAUUUCUUCCAUUUUAAUUUUAAUGAGUUCACGCCCACCGAUGGUUGCAGCGAAAUUCAUUUUUGGACUUUCUUCUAUCGAAGGCAUUCUAACAAAAAUGCUUCCAUAUAAAUGGUGAAAAUAUUGUCAAUUUCCCCAACCAGGGACACAAUUCAAUUUUUAAACAAUAACCAAAGCUCCUUCUCCCAAAAGGGGGAGGGUUACAGUUUACAAUUAUUUAACAAAUGCAACACAACAACGUUUCCCUUACGAGGAACCAACAAACGUGAUAACAAUAGUUAAACAGUUAUAAUAAAAACAACAAAUCUUACUGUGAAUCAAAAGCAGUACACGGUUGAUUUAAUUUAAUUUAUUCCCAUUCAUGUGAAACCACUUAUUCAAGUUCAAGUCAUUGAUGCAAUUUUAUACCAAUUGCUGUUUUUACUUUUGUUAUGUUACGAUUAUAUUAUACUUUAGUUUGAUUUUAAUUAUUACUUACUACAUAUAAUUCAAUUGUUAUUAUUAUCUCUAAUUUUUAUUGUUACAGUGAAAGUAUCUGACAUAAAAUAGAGAAAUGUAUUUGUUUCACUUUUAACACGUAAUACUGAAAUAGUGGAGAAGAUAUGAUAUUGCUAUGGGCUCGCCCUAGGCAAGAAGUUGAACGUUUAUUUUUUGGCCGAUGACACUCCCCGGACCCUAAAUAAAGCAUUUGUAAAAUUUGAAUGAAAUUGGUUGUGUAGUUCUCAAGUUUUAGGGAAACACACAGACAGACAUACAUUCUCAGUUUUAUACAUAUAGAGAUAUGUAACUGAGAAAGCAUGUAUGUGUGCGUGUAAAUGUGAGUCUGUCUGUAUGUGUGCAUCUCUAAAAUUUUAGAACUACCCAAAGGAUUUCAUUCAAAUUUCACACAGGCCUUACUUAAGGUUCAUGCAGUGUCAUGGGCCAAAACAAUUUUCAUCUUCUUGCCUAAUGUGAUCCUGGAGCAAUCUCUUAUCUCUUACACUAUUUCAGUAAUACUUGUCAAACGUGAAACAAUAAAAUCACUAUUGUAAUGUGAGUUAAUACUUUCACUGUGAUAUAUUUAUGUAUGUAUAUGUCUGUAUAUAUAUAUGCACAUAUAUGUAUGCAUGUAUAUGUAUGUUUACAUGUAUAUGCAUAUAUAUCAGACCCGAUUAGAGCCUGGUGCAGCCUUCUGGCUUGCCAGUCCUCUGUUAGACCGUCCAGUCAAUGCCAGAAUGGAAAUCGGAUAUUAAACGAAAGACACCAUCAUAAAUACCAUCUCUACUCUAUAUGUGUGUGCGUGUGUUUGUGUGUGCAUGCGUGUGUGUAUGUACAUGUGUGUCUGGGCAGGUGUAAAAUAUGCAAAUACUCAUACUUUGAGAUCUAUUUUUCCUGUUUGCACCAGCAUACAUAUAUAUGUGUGUGAGUGUGUGUUUCUGUGUGUGUGUGUGUGUAUGUAUGUAUGUAUGUAUGUAUGUAUGUAUGUAUGUAUGUAUGUAUGUAUGUAUGUAUGUAUACAUGCAGAUUUGUUUGUUUUGUUUUAUGUAUGCAUUCUCAUAUAUAUUAGUCACAUAUCUAGACAUGCUCAUAUAAAUUUAAAUGAUAAACCUCUGGAAAGUUUUAGAGAUUUUUACAGUUCCAGUGGAUCUGUAGUUUUUGAAUAAGUUUUCUCCUUUCUGGUUUGGAGAAGUCCAAUUUCUCAAGAUUGGUAUUUAUGCUGUGUUAUGUGUGUUACAUAUUCCAGUGCCCCAAUAAUUACAGGUAUAGAAAAGUGUGUGUGUGUGUGUGUGUAUGUGUGGUGUGUGUGUAUGUGUGGUGUGUGUGUGUGUGUGUGUGAUUGUGUGUGUAUGUCAAAAAGCACGUACAAAUGUGUAUCUUUAUGUGCAUUUAUGUAUGUGAGGUCGAUGAAAAUUACUUACCCACUGGCCUUUAAUUGCUGGUUUUGUGCCAAAAUUUGAAGCCAAUAUUACUGAAAUCUCAUAAAGUAUCUACUGAGUUUAGCACAGUUGGUGAAAUGGAUAAAUUAGAAUACAAUAGAGUUAAUAUUGGACCAAAACAGGGAAAUAUAUUAUUAUGUUGGUAUAAACAGGUGAGUUAAUGACAAUAUUUCUGCUUUGUUUUGCAGGUGAGUUAAUGACAUUAUUUUUGUUUGUUUUACAUCUUUACUAGGUUUACUGAUAGGUUAUUAGUGUUGUUAUUCUUUAGCCAGAUAUCUGUCGUAAUCUAGCAGACUUAUGAUAAACAGUGUCCCGAGUGUGAACAGCCUGCCCUUUUUCACUUCGUUUAAAUUGUUAAAUACAUUAAAUAUAUUUUAGUAUCAAAGUUUCAUUUGCUACUAAGGUAAGAAUACGUUUUCUGUCUUCAAGAUUAGAUACAGGCUGCAAGAAGCAAAAUAAUAAAUCGUAGUGUUAUUAUUAUUCAUCAUCUACUUCCAUGCUCCCAUCAAUUAGCUGGGUCAUCAAUGUCCAAGUCAGUUCUUAUUCAGAGUUAACAUCCAUUUUGACUGCUUGAGGUACACAUGCAUCUCACUUAAAUAUUCUGGAUUUUUUUUAACAAGAUACCCUUCUUAACGCCAACCAUUUUAUAAAGGAUAUUGCAUAUGUUUUAUUGUAACACAGACACUAAUAAGAUUGUCAUCAUCAUCACUAUUUAAAAUUGUUCUCCAGAAGUUCUUCUUGAUUUAUCAUCAUAUGAAGAUGUAAGUUUUUUUAUGGUAGUCUGAUGUUUGAUAUGAGAUAUCAUCUCUCGCCGAAGUAUCUUUCCAGAAUGUCUCAGGUUAAAAUAUUUAUUAUAGUCUACACACAUAUAUAUAUAUAUAUUCAAAAUGUCACUGCUUGUGUACCAUUGGCGAUUUUUUUUCCUCUAUUUUCUCUUCUCUGGAUCUUUCCUUCUCCUAUGUUUCCGAGGAAGAGCUCCCUACUUCUUUCCUUCUUUCCUGAGCUUCCAUCAUCAUCAUCAUCAUUUAGCGUCCGCUUUCCAUGCUAGCAUGGGUUGGACGGUUCUACUGGGGUCUGUGAAGCCAGAAGGCUUCAUCAGGCCCAGUCAAAUCUGGCAGUGUUUCUACGGCUGGAUGCCCUUCCUAACGCCAACCACUCCGUGAGUGUAGUGGGUGCUUUUUACGUGCCACCCGCACUGGUGCCAGACAGAGCUGGCAAACGGCCACGAACGGAUGGUGCUUUUUAUGUGCCACCGGCACGAGGGCCAGGCGAGGCUGGCAACGGACAACGAAACGGGGCGGUGCAGGCAACGGUCGUGAAACGGAAAGUUCUCUUACAUGCCACCGGCACUGGUAGCACAUCCGCAAUUUCCAUUGAUCAAUUUCGAUUCUGAUCCUCACUUGCCUCAACACGUCUUCACAAGUAGAGUUUUGUGUCCCAAGAAGGGAAGGUAUGCAUACGUAGGCUGGCUCCAUCCCAUGUAGAAGGCCACGGGUUAUGGACUCACUUGUCCUGCCGGGUCUUCUCGCGCACAGCACACUUCCAGAGGUCUCGGUCUCUAGUCAUUUCCUCAGUGAGACCUAAAGUUCGAAGGUCGUGCUUCACCACCUCGUCCCAGGUUUUCCUGGGUCUGCCUCUUCCACAGGUUCCCUCAACCGCUAGGGUGUGGCACUUUUUCACACAACUAUCUUCAUCCAUUCUCGCCACAUGACCAUACCAGCGCAAACGUCUCUCUUGCACACCACCACUGAUGCUUCUUAGGUCCAGCUUUUCUCUCAAGGUACUUACACUCUGCCGAGUGUGAGUACCGGCAUUACACAUCCAUCGGAGCAUACUGGCUUCAUUUCUAGUGAGUUUACGCAUAUCCUCAGCAGUCACGGCCCAUGUUUCACUGCCAUGUAGCAUGGCUGUUCGUACACAUGCAUCAUACAGUCUGCCUUUCACUCUGUGCGAGAAGCCUUUUGUCACCAGCAGAGGUAAGAGCUCUCUGAACUUUGCCCAAGCUAUUCUUACUCUAGCAGUUACACUUUCAGCACACCCGCCCCCGCUGCUGACUUGGUCACCUAGGUAACGGAAACUAUCAACUAUUUCUAGUUUUUCUCCCUGGAAAGUGACGGAAGUUGGUCUCAGAGCAUUUUCAGUGUUUAUUGUUCCUGAGCAUCUGCCACAUACAAAAACCAUCUUCCUAGUUAGCCUUCCUUUGACAUUGCUGCACCUCUUAUGUGUCCAUAGCUUACACUUGGUGCACCUUAUAGAGUUUCUACCUACACCUUUUCUACAGAUCGAGCAGGGCCAUCUACCUGAAGGUGUUUGUGAUUUGUCUACCUUCCUACUGAUUAGGACUUUGGUUUUAGCUAGAUUGACUCUGAGGCCCUUCGAUUCUAAUCCUUGUUUCCACACCUGAAACUUCUUCUCCAGUUCUGAUAGCGACUCAGCAAUUAGAGCAAGGUCAUCAGCAUAGAGGAGCUCCCAAGGGCAUCCUGUCUUGAAUUCCUCCGUUAUUGCUUGGAGGACUAUGAUAAAUAGGAGGGGGCUGAGUACUGAGCCUUGGUGAACCCCUACCUCUACCCGGAAUUCUUCACUGUACUCAUUUCCAACCCUCACCCUACUAGCGGCGUCCCUAUACAUGGCCCGCACAGCUCUCACUAACCAUUCAUCUAUCCCUAGUUUCCUCAUUGCCCACCAGAUAAGGGAUCGAGGGACCCUGUCGAAGGCUUUCUCCAUGUCAACAAAAGCCAGGUACAGGGGCUUAUCUUUGGCUAGGUAUUUCUCCUGCAGCUGCCUUACCAGGAAUAUAGCAUCAGUAGUACUUUUCCCUGGCACAAACCCAAACUGCAUCUCAUCUAAACUAACUCUCUCUCUAAUUAGUUGGGCUAUGACCCUCUCCGUAACCUUCAUCACCUGGUCCAACAGCUUGAUACCUCUGUAGUUAUUUGUAUCUAGGGCAUCACCUUUACCUUUGUAGCCGUUGACUAUUAUACUGCUACACCAGUCAUUGGGUAUGACCCCUUUGUGUAUCACCUGAUUAACUAUAUGGGUGACUAGGCUAUAGCCGACACUACCAGACAUUUUGAGCAUCUCUGCAGUGAUUCCUGAUGGGCCUGGGGCUUUCCCUGUCUUCAUGCUUCUAAUUGCCUUAGCUACCACGGAACUAUCAACUCGGAUAGCUGGUCCCUCUGUUGGGUCAACAUUCGGCAGACUCUCUUUAUCCCAUUCAUUUUCUUCAUUCAGCAACCUUUCAUAGUGGCAUCUCCAAACCUCUCUCUUUGCAUCCUCAUUUAGCGCAAGUGAACCAUCUUCCAUGCGAACACACUUCUCUCCUACCACAUCACGAUUCUCUCUCACACACUGUCUUGCAACACGAAACACCUCCAGUCUUUGGUCCUCAUGGCGCAGAACAUUGGCAAAUUUUUUCUUAUCUGCUUCCCCUCUGGCUAAAUAAACCUGUCUCCUAGCUUCUCUUUUGGCAGUCUGAUACAAUUCCCUGCUACCCCCAUUUUUCCAGACCUUCCAAGCCUGUCUCUUUUCUCUAAAAGCCAAUAAUACUAUAUUUGUUCCACAUCCUCAUGUUGUUGUGUUUUUUUGUACUUUCAUGUUUGGAUUAAGUAUAUGUAUUUAUAUAUAUAUAUAUAUGUAACUUAGAUUGCAUGUAUCUGUGGGUGUAAAUGCGUGUCUAUCUGUCUAUAUGUAUGCAACACUAAAACCCGAGAUCUAGCCAACUGAUGUCAUUCAUAUUUCACACAUGCCUUAGUUACGGUCCAUGCACUGUCAUGGGUCGAAGAAAUUUUCAACUUCUUGCCUAAUGUGAUUCUGGAGCAAUCUCUUAUCUCUUACCCUGUUUAGUUAUUACUUGUCAAAAGUGAAACAAUAAAAUCGCUAUUGUAAUGUGAGUUAAUACUUUCACUGUGAUAUAUUUACAUAUGUAUAUGUAUAUAUAUGCAUAUUAUAUGUAUGCAUGUAUAUGUAUGUUUACAUAUAUAAACAUACAUAUCAGAUCAGAUUGGAGCCUGGUGCAGCCUUCUGCCUUGCCAGCCCGAAGUCAGAAUUCAGCAUGGAAAGCGGAUAUGAAAUGGCAAUGUUAAUGAUGAUGAUGAUGAUGAUGAUGAUGAUGAUGAUGAUGAUGAUGAUGAUGAUGAUGAUGAUGAUGAUGGAGCUUCUACAAUAUAGAUCUGUGCUGAGACAUAAUCAUAUUCACUGUAAUGAAAGUCACUUAUUUUUUAGUCAGAUUAUAUAUAAUUUAUAUUGAUAUCUAGUAUGUAAUGUCAGAUGUUGUCCUUUUGUAUUGCAUAUACAACCUGUUAACAUGGUAAUGAAUGAGAUAUUAUUCAUUAAUUGAUUUACAUUUGUAUGUCUGAAAUUUAGCCUUAUUUUGUCAUAGCAUCAUCUUUUACCCUCACCCAACAGAUUUAAACCUUAUUACCAUCUGUGUAAGUUAUUCUACAGUUUUUCUUAGGCACAGAACCACUCCACUACGAACUGGGAUUAUUGACUUCAAUAGUCCAAUAAUGUCCAGAUGUUAUUGUGUCCUGAAACAAAAUGUGAAACAUUUCUGUAAAAGUAUGAUAUUAUUUAGGUAUAUUUUAUAAAGCAUUACUGUGACCUUUUGUAAUCAGUUGGUUUUAAUUAACAUCAGUGUCAAAUGUAGUAUAACAGUGGUAACAUGAAUGGGAUUAGAUAUUCCUUGUAUAUGCUGUUCUUAUAUUAACAAAAUCAUGACAGGACAGUUUCUGUCAGUCAGACCCUGCUACACAGGUGUAAGUUCCAAGUCCUCAAAUUUACUGGUUACUCGCUUUCAACCCUAUCAAUGUCAACCACAUGGAUAAAGGAGAUAUCAAAGAGAAAAGUAACUUUAUUCGAUGUAUUUAAUAGAAGAUUUAAAUAGAGGUAAACUAUAUUCUUGAGAAUCAGUUCUUUUCUACCAUUCCAGAUACUUUUCUUGCAAGAAAUGGAUGAUUGGUUAUAUAUAGUUCAUGAUGUUGAGUGCAAAUGCACAGUGUUUUAGGGCACAUUACCACUGUCCAUUUCACCUGUGUAGAACUAAUCAUUGCUCACCUGAAAAGAAACUGCUUUAUUAAGAAGGAUGAAUGACAAGUAAAUGUUUUCAAAUAUUUCAAGAAUCAGAUGACAUUCUGGUGAACUGUAAUGUAGGUAGUUAAAAUUAAAGAUUACCAGUGGCAACCUUUAACAGAGAGAGAGAGAAAGAGAGAGAGAGAGACAGAGAAACAGAGAAAGAAAGAAAGAGAGAGAGAGAGAGCUGGUGUAUGAUGAUCCUAACAGAUGUGGUGCAUCAUGUGUGUGUAGCUAGAUCUUAGAUGGCCAACCCCUAGUUGACAUUAGAAUUAGGCAGAUGAUGAGAAGAAUAUUGCUUAGUAAAAUAUAAACAUGAGAGGACAACGGCAUAUCAUAGAUAUGGCAGAAAUAUAAUUAAUGAAAGACAAAACUAAGUGAUAAUAAUCCUUAGCAAGUGGUAAAUAAAUGUGAUGAUUGCAACAUUGUUAGAUUAAGUAGGAUGUCUUAUUAUAGAGAGGAGAUUUAGGAAGGCUAGUUUGCUCUGUUGUGGACCUAAAUAUGAAGUUAUUACAUGGUACCACUGUAGAAAGUAUAAAAAUGUUGACUGAAAUCAUAGUGGUCUCCAUUCGACCAUUAAUGAUAGGAAUAUCUCACAAAAAUAAAAUAUAAAUUACAAUAGAGAUAUAGAAAUUUAACUAUAAAGUGUAAAUCUUGGAAAUAUUUCAGUGAAUCGAAGCCAGACCAUGCAGGAUCUCCUAAAUUUGUUUGAAAGUUUAGCAUGAAAGGAGAAACAUGAUGGUAAGUAUAAAAUAAGAAUACUUAACUGGUUUCUAUAAGUUUUACCUACACUUGACGUCCUUUGUCCAACCUAGCAUGGUUUGUACAGUUUAACCGGAGCUGGCAAGUUGAAGGGCUGUACCAGACUCCAAUGUCCAAUGACCCCAAUUAGAUUGAAGGUUCCACUCAGAAUUAUACUCUCUCCUCUCAUUCACCAAUCACUUUCAAGUGUAUACUGGGGCCAUUUUCUCAUGGUGUUAGCACUGUUCUGGUUGUGUUGCAUCUCAUACUAUUAUACAAUUCUCAUUGCUCUUUCAUGUCAUUUUACAAUCAUGAAGUAAGGAGUUUAAGUGAUAACAGAAGAAUAAUGAGGAUGCAGUGAGUGACAGUUGUGAGAAAAUGAGGAUAAGAACAAUGACUUGAAAGAGAGGUGGAGAAUACCAAGACUGAAUGGUUGAAGCUAAGAUAAAUUUAUUUGUGAGAUGGUUAAUGAUUUACUGACAUCUUGAGAAUCCAAUAAUCAAAGACAGUGUUACUUAGUAGAACAUCAAUGUUGGCUUUGGUAAAGUAUGAGGCUCAAUCACAAUAUCUCAACAAACAGAAACUAUAACUGUGAAAUCAUUUGGUCAGUGUUGCUGUGAAUGUCCUUAAUUGUUAAAAGUUUAGAUUAAUAAUGAUAGCUUUUUGUGUGAAUUUGAAUGCUGGUAAAAUAUACUAUAAGUUAUAACACUUGAAAUUAUGAAUUUCAGACUCACACAUGCAGGAUGUCUAUGAAGAGCCAGUUGGUGAGUAUAAAACUGAAGUACCAAAUUGAUUUCUAUAAGUUUUCCCUUAAGCACUAGCAUUGGUCAGUUUUUCUUGUGUCCCAUAAAAUUAGACACUUCUUACUGCUCUUAUGAUGUUGUUUUUUCAUUCAAGGGGACAAUUUGAGAAAUGAUGACAGAAGAAUAAUGAGGUUACAGGGAGAGAAAUUUGUGAGAAAAUAAGGAUAAGAAUGGUGAUUUGAAAGAGAGGUGAGGAAUGAUAAGACUGAAUGACCAUCAGUUGUGAACCAACAGAGAUGAUUAAUGAUGUAUUAACAUCUUGGGAGUGUGAUAAUUAAAGUCAAAAGUACUUAUAAGAACAUCAUUUUAAGCUUUCUAAUGUAGGAGAUUCAAUAACAAAUCGCAAAUAAAAACGUUUUCAACUGGUAAAAUUUGUUAGAGACGAUUUCAUUUGGUUCCAAAAUCGUUAUCCAGAAGUUCUUUUUGUUUAUCGCUCGAAGAUUGACCGUUUUUUUCUAAUGGGCCAAUCAAACAAGUCCAUUUCUUUUUAAAGGUGUAGCGUUUGUAAGAGUCUAGAUUGAAUUGAUAUAUCGGUUCCAUUCUAGCAAAAACUGUCUGAUGAACGGCAACGAGAAACUCAG
Molecule: long non-coding RNA, 14135 nt
Filed under: Octopus vulgaris (common octopus)
Lineage: Eukaryota; Metazoa; Mollusca; Cephalopoda; Octopoda; Octopodidae
Source: RNAcentral